This 511-nucleotide ribosomal RNA is filed under the name Gymnopternus helveticus. RNAcentral's name for it is "partial 16S ribosomal RNA". It matches the Rfam family "Bacterial large subunit ribosomal RNA", at positions 1829 to 2597 of the family's 2925-position model. The record is from RNAcentral. Lineage: Eukaryota; Metazoa; Arthropoda; Insecta; Diptera; Dolichopodidae.
GUCUUUUUGAGUUUAAUUUAAAGUCUAAUCUGCCCACUGAUAAUAUUUAAGGGCCGCAGUAUUCUGACUGUGCAAAGGUAGCAUAAUCAUUAGUCUUUUAAUUGAGGGCUUGUAUGAAUGAUUGGACGAGAUAUAAUCUGUCUCAUAAAAAUUUAAGUAGAAUUUUAUUUUUUAGUUAAAAAGCUAAAAUAAAUUUAAAAGACGAGAAGACCCUAUAGAUCUUUAUAAUUUAUUUAUUAAUUUUUUUAGGUUAUUUUUUAAUUUUAUAAAUUAAAUUAUUUUGUUGGGGUGACAGUGAAAUUUAUAAAACUUUCAUAAUUUUUUUUAACAUUGAUUUAUGAUAGAUUGAUCCAUUUUUAGUGAUUAAAAAUUUAAGUUACCUUAGGGAUAACAGCGUAAUUAUUUUGGAGAGUUCUUAUCGAUAAAAUAGUUUGCGACCUCGAUGUUGGAUUAAGAUUAAUUCUGGGUGUAGCAGUUCAGGUUAUUAAGUCUGUUCGACUUUUGAUUUCUU